GAGGGCGAAGCUGAAAAAAAGCAACGCGAUAGUAGACGAUUGGGCACCACCUGUCGAACGAACAAGCCGUAAUACAAGUCUUCGUCACAUUUUAAAAGAAGUUUAGCUCAGAUAAUAAUAGUAAAAUUGCGUUAUAUAUAUUUCAUCGUAAAUAUUUUUCGGGGACCCUAUAUGCUCUCCAAAUCACUACAACAGCACAAACGUGGAAACAUUUCAGGUGAAAGACUUCAUGACAGUGAAGCCAUGUAUUUCGUUCUUUGAGAUCUGCGCUGAGAUCUGUGAGAGUUGGGAAUUGAUCUCCACACGUCUGUCUUCUGGACGUCUCCAGCUGGAUGCCGAGUCGACUCGAGCUCAACUCCGAGCUGAAAUUCGGAUGCUCUGCAGCCUCGGGUGCGUCAGCCUCCCUGCUGGACCCAUCCCUCUUCCCAGAUGGCACCAGGGUCCCGUUUUCGCCUGCUGGGUGUCAUGGAGUGGUACCUGGCUACUGACAGUUCCGCUGAGAACACCAAGACAGGCUGUCAGGCGGAGGCAGUGACAUCAUGGUCCCGUUGCAAAGAUCUCUGGAUCCCAAGAUGUGCAGGAGAUGGGGGGGGGGGGAUGCACGCCAUCGCCUAGCAACCAGACUGAGGGGAUGCCUGUUGCUGAGGAUGCCAGGACCGCCGUGGCACAGCACUGUCAGAAAGAUGCCGGACUAUAUAAGGGGAAUGUGCAUCUUUUCCAUUAGUUCACACUCCACAGCCACUGUCCUGUUGCCUGCUGAUUCUGUGCUUAUGGACUUUUCUAUAACGUGCUUAAUAAACUGGAGGAAUUGAAGGAUGAACUUUUAGAAAAGAGGACUAUCUUCAACUCUGCCGUGGGCUACGUCUACCUGCCCGGUGAGAUCCUGCAACCUGCGCUGUGCCUGUAUCUAUGCUACGUAUGGAUCCAACCACCUGCUCUGCUGUAUAAUAAACGCCUGCCAGCCUGCCUGCC
Long non-coding RNA from Anguilla rostrata (American eel), 972 nucleotides. RefSeq lists it as uncharacterized. Lineage: Eukaryota; Metazoa; Chordata; Actinopteri; Anguilliformes; Anguillidae. The record is from RefSeq and is a predicted model, not a curated record. The transcript has 4 exons.